RNAcentral lists this ribosomal RNA (468 nucleotides) under uncultured bacterium. RNAcentral describes it as "partial 16S ribosomal RNA". It matches the Rfam family "Bacterial small subunit ribosomal RNA", at positions 28 to 507 of the family's 1533-position model. The record is from RNAcentral.
GACGAACGCUGGCGGCGUGCUUAACACAUGCAAGUCGAACGGAAAGGCCCUGCUUUUGUGGGGUGCUCGAGUGGCGAACGGGUGAGUAACACGUGAGUAACCUGCCCUUGACUUUGGGAUAACUUCAGGAAACUGGGGCUAAUACCGGAUAUGAGCUCCUGCUGCAUGGUGGGGGUUGGAAAGUUUCGGCGGUUGGGGAUGGACUGGCGGCUUAUCAGCUUGUUGGUGGGGUAGUGGCUUACCAAGGCUUUGACGGGUAGCCGGCCUGAGAGGGUGACCGGCCACAUUGGGACUGAGAUACGGCCCAGACGCCUACGGGAGGCAGCAGUGGGGAAUAUUGCACAAUGGGCGGAAGCCUGAUGCAGCAACGCCGCGUGCGGGAUGACGGCCUUCGGGUUGUAAACCGCUUUCGCCUGUGACGAAGCGUGAGUGACGGUAAUGGGUAAAGAAGCACCGGCUAACUACGUG